UGCUGAGAGAACGCCCUCUUACUACUGACUCCCAACGCAGAGCGGAGUUGCCGAUCUCAUGUCCAAGCUACGGCUCUAAUAGUAUUUAAAGCAUUUUGUUUUUUCAAACAAAAUUUAACAGACUGUUACCCAGCAACAAGAGCAACCCUUGUGAUUUCUCAAGCCCGAUGUAGAAGAUUAGUCUAAAGCAGGGUUCUUCUGUAGGCUGCAGUUUGUUCACGGUCCUCUAGCAGGAGGAGGCCGCUCAUCAAGGUACCUUAGAACAGGAAUGCAGCAGCAAGAACCACAGGCCUGCGAGGCAGUAGAGGAGAAACGUUCUGGCAAGAAUGAGAUAACGGGGGUUCAUGCUGAUCUGUGCUGAACAAAUCCAUGAAGCUUGCCCUCCCACUCCACGUCCCAUAGAAUCAUAGAGGAACAUGCCCGUGGAGAUGUUCUUGUCCAUUUCUCCCCAUACAUUUGGUCUAUGCAUGAUUGUGGUUUUCCAUCUCGAUCUCAGGGACUGAGUGUCUCCUGCUGCAGGUAGGAAGCCGGUGCCUAGUCUGCCAUUGGAGAGGGAACAAAUCAUGUUCUUUAAAGGGCUUGGCCAUACGAACGCUUAUUUCUCCGCAAGCUGCGGUGUAAAUCUACCCUGCUGGGCACUAAAUGUCUAUGUGGACCUUGCUGUUGCCUGCUAAAAAUUCCCUACUGUGCUUUAAUCUACUCCAAGUGGGGGUAGAUCUAAGCUCCGUAGGAAAGUUUUAGUGCAUGGUAGAUUUACAUCCCAGCUUGCCAUAAGCUAAGUGUUUGUGUGGACAAGCUGUAUGUUUUCUCAAACACGGUAGGUGAUAAAAUGCCUUGCAUUAACACUUCUGCUGUAAAACCUUUGCAGAGUUUAGAGGGAAGAGGCAUUUAGGGAAAGUAAUGCAUGAAAACAGCAACUGAGUUGAGACUGGGCAGAGCCCUUGUCUUCCACCUCUGUCCAUCCUUUUUUAAAAGCAACCUGUACCACCCAUGUCCCUCUCUGCCAGAAUUGGGACCAAUUUUGCUUUCUCCCCCUGAACUGAGAUUCCUGAAAUAAUUAAAGCCAGAGCUAUAUGACUGGUACUGGAGCAGAUAAUGGCAUUAACAGGAUGGGCUUGUCCCUGUUACUUUCAGAGCUGUAUUAUUUUCCAAACACUUGUUUUUAGUUUAAUACAUGGGCCAUGUUACAAAUCAUGCUUGUUGGUUAAGAAGUCCUGUUCCGGGGAGUAGGGGGAAACAUGUGAACUCUGGCUUGAAUUGAUCCAGAGAGUUACACCACUGGACUCUAGCUGCGCACUUUCCCAGAGUUCCUUGCUGUUAAGAUCUUUGCUUAGGCUCUAGUUUGAAUAGCGUAGGGACAGUCGCUCUAUUUUGCAUGUAGCACUGAGGGGAUGCUGUUAUCGUGCAUACCUCAUGGCUAUUUUGCUAUUAAACCCCUUGAUUUAAAAACUGAUUCAGUGCUAGGCACAUGUUUCACAUUAGUACAGCUGGGCUAAGCCAAGGGUUAGCCAUACAAAUACUACUUUGCAACUGCGUCAGUAAUAGGUGCAUUAAGACUUUUUAGGUCUGCGAUUCACUAGCAGCUAUCCAGUUGGGCAGGCUACUCCCCGGUGAGGUUCCCUGAAUGGAUCCAGCGAGCAUCUCCUCUUCCCUGGCGUGGGUCUCAUGUUAGUAACAAGUGCGUGGCAGCAGCAGGAAUCUUAUCGACUGCUCAGAGGGAAAGAGAGCUGAUCACAAUGUUAAGAAUCCAUUUUGCCUCUGGUGGCCUUAGCUGCUUGCCAUGUGCACAGUGAACACGCCUGACUGUAUGUUCCUGUACAGCCUGGGUAACAUAUACGCACCUGUUCUGAGGCGCAAAACUGCUCUAAAUUGCAAAUGCUACCGCAGUCUUCUUAGUAGGUUCUUACGACGUGUCCACUGAGCUCUCAUAUCCAACUUUCCACGUCCUGAUUGGACAGGACCGUCUAACUUCAGUUCUAAUUUAGAAUGUUCCUUCAACAGCAAGCUGUUACGGUUGACAAUUCCACAGCCGGAAUUGUGAAACUGUAGAUGAUUGACAGUACAGACGUUAAUUGUCUGAGGUGUCCAGUCAGUUAAAUGUUAACCUCUACUGUGCCUUGGCUAGUAUUUAGCUUUCAGGUCAAUAAUUGUCACUGCCACUGAAGUCAAUAUCCACUUAUUGCAAAUGCUGAAUCAUGAGACAGAUAAGCUGUUGCCAUAACUUAGUUACACAGACUUGGAUGCAUUUUAAAAGGUAACUCUUGAAGCAAAGGUUUGUUAAUGACUGAUUCUACUAGCACUUUUUGGUUCUAACUGUGUAAGCUUGAAGGAGUCCACUGUGUUAGAUGAAGUAUUUGAUUCAAAGAAACACAUUUCAAAUACUUAUUUACCUUUUAUCGCUAUGUAACAAAAGUAAUAUUAGACAAGAUUCAUGUGUACCAGUAGGCACAAUAGCAACAAGGUUUUGCAUAUUAAAAUAAAUCAGUAAUUUAUCCAGUAAAUUCA
Chrysemys picta bellii (western painted turtle) is the source of this 2505-nucleotide long non-coding RNA. NCBI's taxonomy places the organism in Eukaryota, Metazoa, Chordata, Testudines, Emydidae. The record is from Ensembl.